GGACCCGCACAAGCGGUGGAUGAUGUGGUUUAAUUCGAUGCAACGCGAAAAACCUUACCUACCCUUGACAUGCUAGGAAUCCUGCAGAGAUGUGGGAGUGCUCGAAAGAGAGCCUAGACACAGGUGCUGCAUGGCCGUCGUCAGCUCGUGUCGUGAGAUGUUGGGUUAAGUCCCGCAACGAGCGCAACCCUUAUCAUUAGUUGCUACGCAAGGGCACUCUAAUGAGACUGCCGGUGACAAACCGGAGGAAGGUGGGGAUGACGUCAGGUCAUCAUGGCCCUUAUGGGUAGGGCUACACACGUCAUACAAUGGCCGGUACAGAGGGCUGCCAACCCGCGAGGGGGAGCUAAUCUCAGAAAACCGGUCGUAGUCCGGAUCGCAGUCUGCAACUCGACUGCGUGAAGUCGGAAUCGCUAGUAAUCGCGGAUCAGCUUGCCGCGGUGAAUACGUUCCCGGGUCUUGUACACACCGCCCGUCACACCAUGGGAGCGGGUUCUGCCAGAAGUAGUUAGCCUAACCGCAAGGGGGGCGAUUACCACGGCAGGGUUCGUGACUGGGGUGAAGUCGUAACAAGGUAGCCGUAUCGGAAGGUGCGGCU
RNAcentral lists this ribosomal RNA (598 nucleotides) under uncultured Methylibium sp. RNAcentral describes it as "bacterial SSU rRNA". It matches the Rfam family "Bacterial small subunit ribosomal RNA", at positions 917 to 1519 of the family's 1533-position model. Lineage: Bacteria; Pseudomonadati; Pseudomonadota; Betaproteobacteria; Burkholderiales; Sphaerotilaceae. The record is from RNAcentral.